CAUCACUCAUUACUUUGCUGCCUAUCAGCAAUUAGCAGUGGGAGGUAGAUGAUCCUGCUUCUAGAGGCCAGGAUCAAUCCAUCCAUCUGUGCUCCACUACCAGGGGCAAGUGCAGCCUCACGUUCACUGCAUGAUGGAUGCAUGGAACGGCGCUGCGUUACUGUUAUCACUCAGUGUGCAGAUGAAAACCUCUCCCACUGGGCCAACACAACUUCCAUCAAAGGCCUGACCAAAUAUUAAGGAGGCUUUUUAUUAGCUUCGCACUUUACUGAAUGGAUAGAGGAGGUGUUGGAUUCAAGUCUCCGGAGCCCCAUGAAACUAUAUUGACAUUAUAUGAACACAGUUGGUGCUGAGGCUCGGGAUGAUUUGUUAGGAAGAGCUCCAAAAGAACAAAGGCAAAAAAGUGCUGUAAAUAAAGGAAAAACAAAAGACAUGAGCAUACUGUCAUCUGUGAGGGACACAGAUGGCGACUGACUUCAGGUCAUGGUGAAAGCACUUUGUUCUUUCCUCUGGCCAGCCCCGCUACGAUCACCCACAUCAGCUCACGCUUCCGGGCCCUGGUUAAUGUUAUUGACCGUUGUUCCGUGAAGCCAGUUGUCCUCCACGGACCCCAAAGGGACCACCAUGACAGCACCAAUGGCCUCGAGCCCUUGUCAUCCCCAUUUUUGACCAGAGACACGAG
Long non-coding RNA from Cyprinus carpio carpio, 682 nucleotides. NCBI's taxonomy places the organism in Eukaryota, Metazoa, Chordata, Actinopteri, Cypriniformes, Cyprinidae. The record is from Ensembl.